AAAGAGGAGAGAGUUAUCGACAGGAACCAGAAAGGAUAGAGAAACAGAUGGUGAGGAAGAGGAAGAGGAGAAAGAAUUGAAAAACAGAUGAUGAUAGUAAAUGCUCUAAAGCGAAAAUUGGGCAAAAUCCAGUAAACCAAAUCAGUUCUAAAAAUAAACAACAUUCGGCCGGUGGGAAUAAUCAGUGCGAAUAAACAAAUAAAAAAGAAAAUCAUGAGGAAGAAAAUAAAAAUCCGAGAUGAAAAAAAGAAAAGAACAACUUACCGAAAC
This 270-nucleotide long non-coding RNA is filed under the name Gossypium raimondii (Peruvian cotton). Its description in RNAcentral is "long non-coding RNA (GRAI_LNC004771)". Lineage: Eukaryota; Viridiplantae; Streptophyta; Magnoliopsida; Malvales; Malvaceae. The record is from RNAcentral.